UAGGGAAUUUUUCACAAUGAGCGACAGUUGNNGGNGNAUGCCGCGUGAACGAUGAAGGUCUUUAAGAUUGGAAGGUUCUUUUAUUUGGGAAGAUGGCUUUAGNNGGUNNNGCUAGAGUGUGACUGUACCAUUUUGAAUAANUGCGNUAANUAGGGCCAGCAGUCGGGNAAUACAUAGGUCGCAAGCGUUAUCCGGAUUAUUGGGCGUAAGCANGCGNAGGGGAUUGAAAGCUGGUGUUNAGGCAGNGCUUNACAGGUGGAUGCUUGAAANANUAAUCUAGAGGUGGNAGGGAGUUUGGAAUUUAUGGGGAGCGGGAAAUGGGUAGAUAUAUGAGGAAACCAGGGCGAAGGCGAAAAUUAGGGCAUAACUGACGCUUAGGCUGGAAAGUGUGGGGGGGNAAUAGGAUUAGAUACCCAAUAGGCCACAACCGUAAACAAAAUACUAGCUGUCGGGGCGAUCCCCUCGGUAUGGAGGUAAACACAUUUAAGAUCUUGGCCUGGGGUAGGAAUUUUCCCAAGAAUGG
This 523-nucleotide ribosomal RNA is filed under the name uncultured bacterium. Its description in RNAcentral is "partial 16S rRNA". It matches the Rfam family "Bacterial small subunit ribosomal RNA", at positions 355 to 897 of the family's 1533-position model. The record is from RNAcentral.